GCCGGUGUGGCGGAAUUGGCAGACGCGCGCGACUCAAAAUCGUGUGGGAAACCAUGGGGGUUCGAGUCCCUUCACCGGCACCA
RNAcentral lists this transfer RNA (83 nucleotides) under Vulcanibacillus modesticaldus. Its description in RNAcentral is "tRNA-Leu". It matches the Rfam family "tRNA". Rfam says of the family: Transfer RNA (tRNA) molecules are approximately 80 nucleotides in length. Their secondary structure includes four short double-helical elements and three loops (D, anti-codon, and T loops). The record is from RNAcentral. Lineage: Bacteria; Bacillati; Bacillota; Bacilli; Caryophanales; Bacillaceae.